Cucurbita maxima (winter squash) is the source of this 823-nucleotide long non-coding RNA. RefSeq lists it as uncharacterized. The record is from RefSeq and is a predicted model, not a curated record. The transcript has 4 exons. Lineage: Eukaryota; Viridiplantae; Streptophyta; Magnoliopsida; Cucurbitales; Cucurbitaceae.
CGUUCUUUAACCCCCGCGCUCUCGACACGAAGAUGAACGCAUAGUAUCACUUUGAUACUACUACCAUGUCGGCGACCAUAAAAGCGACGGCAAUAUCCUUUAAUCGUCGCGUUCUUCCCCCUAUAUUUCCACCGCCGUCUCGUCUCGUCUCUUUUAGAGGCAUAGCUUCGAAGCUUGUUGUUGGUGUACUCUCAUUCUACACCAUGGGCAAAGGACUAUCGGAUGCCUUUUCUCGAUAUGGUUAGGUUGUGGAAGAUGGCUUCCAUUCAGAUACUUUAGCUUUCAUGUCUUACAAUGGCAAUUUAGUUUCAAAAAACAAUUCUCUCUACUCCAGCCAAAGUUUUGAUGGACAGAGCCUCUGUUAAGUCAAAGGGAUUUGGAGUUGUCACCUUUGCAUCUGAAGACGAAGCGCAUAUUGUACUGACAAAGAUGAACGGAAGCCUUUGAACGGAAGGCUUAUUUUUGCGGACUAUGUGAAACUGCCUUCCAAUUGGCAGAAAUCUUAUAGCGAGAGGACCUCCUAAAGGAGAAAACUGAUAAGUGAUUGUUCCGUCAUUUAUCAGAAAGGAAUUAGCUGAACAGGGAGGGAACCCACGUAGUAGCUGUGCAUGGAAAGUGUGAUUCAGACAUGUUCUAUCAGCAAUUUGCUUCAUGCUAGAGAUGUGCUAAAAAGCUUCAGGAAAAAGAGGGAAAAGAGAGUCAUUAGGAAAGCGAGCUAAUGGCAUCACGAGAGAGAGCCUUGGGUGUUAGGGAGAAAAUUUUAAUUACUAUCAAGAAUAUGAAUGAUCUUUUUAUUUAUUAUCUAUCAAGUCAGCAUUUUUUG